GCCCCUGUGGGCCCCUCGCCGUGUGAGCAGCCAUCCCGAGUGGACACGCCCCUCCUCCCCACCCGUUGCAUGUGGAUGUCCUGUGGCCUCAUGCUGCCCAGGCACCUUGCUGAUGUGGACCAGUGUUCAGCAGCCCUCCCCACGGCUCUGACACCCUGCCCACAUCCCCAGAGCCCAGGUCAUCACUGACCAGCAUGCAGCAGGUGCCCAGCAAAUAUUUCUUGCACUGAAGUGAAUUGGAUAAGAGGGCCCUCCAAACUGUGAAGUGUGGUGCAGCUAGCAGGUGGCUGGGGCUGUGCUUACCCAGCAGGGAAGACCACUGUGCGGGUGGCCGGAAGAGUGGGUACUGCUUGGGAAAGGCCGUCUGGCUCCAUUUGCCCGUGAAGGUGAUGCUGUACUUGGCCAGGGGCCGGGCUGUGCACAUGGAGUCUCCCCUCAGUGGCU
Long non-coding RNA from Phyllostomus discolor (pale spear-nosed bat), 444 nucleotides. RefSeq lists it as uncharacterized. The record is from RefSeq and is a predicted model, not a curated record. Lineage: Eukaryota; Metazoa; Chordata; Mammalia; Chiroptera; Phyllostomidae. The transcript is spliced from 2 exons.